AACGAACGCUGGCGGCAUGCCUAACACAUGCAAGUCGAACGAGAUCUUCGGGUCUAGUGGCGCACGGGUGCGUAACGCGUGGGAAUCUGCCCUUUGGUUCGGAAUAACAGUUGGAAACGACUGCUAAUACCGGAUGAUGACGAAAGUCCAAAGAUUUAUCGCCAGAGGAUGAGCCCGCGUAGGAUUAGCUAGUUGGUGUGGUAAAGGCGCACCAAGGCGACGAUCCUUAGCUGGUCUGAGAGGAUGAUCAGCCACACUGGGACUGAGACACGGCCCAGACUCCUACGGGAGGCAGCAGUGGGGAAUAUUGGACAAUGGGCGAAAGCCUGAUCCAGCAAUGCCGCGUGAGUGAUGAAGGCCUUAGGGUUGUAAAGCUCUUUUACCCGGGAUGAUAAUGACAGUACCGGGAGAAUAAGCUCCGGCUAACUCCGUGCUAGCAGCCGCCGCCG
RNAcentral lists this ribosomal RNA (449 nucleotides) under uncultured bacterium. Its description in RNAcentral is "partial 16S ribosomal RNA". It matches the Rfam family "Bacterial small subunit ribosomal RNA", at positions 29 to 523 of the family's 1533-position model. The record is from RNAcentral.